RNAcentral lists this ribosomal RNA (253 nucleotides) under uncultured bacterium. RNAcentral describes it as "partial 16S ribosomal RNA". It matches the Rfam family "Bacterial small subunit ribosomal RNA", at positions 524 to 776 of the family's 1533-position model. The record is from RNAcentral.
UACGGAGGGUGCAAGCGUUAUCCGGAUUCACUGGGUUUAAAGGGUGCGUAGGAGGGCAGGUAAGUCAGUGGUGAAAUCUCCAAGCUUAACUUGGAAACUGCCGUUGAUACUAUCUGUCUUGAAUACCGUGGAGGUGAGCGGAAUAUGUCAUGUAGCGGUGAAAUGCUUAGAUAUGACAUAGAACACCAAUUGUGAAGGCAGCGCGCUACACGAAUAUUGACUCUGAGGCACGAAAGCGUGGGGAUCAAACCGG